AUGGCAAGUAGCAGCGACAACACGACGGUGACUCUCCGCAGCGACGACGGCGAGGAGUUCGUGGUCCAGGCGGACACGAUCGCGGCGGCGUCGGUGCUGAUCAAGAACAUGCUGGAGGACGGCUGCGCCGCCGGCGUGAUCCCGCUGACCCAGGUGACGGGCCGCAUCCUCGCCCGCGUCGUCGACUACUGCAACCGCCACUACGCCGACGCCGACGCGGCCACGUACGUCAACAGCACCUUCUCGUCGGGCGACCCGGAGCUGGAUCGCUUCGACACGGACUUCGUGAGCGGCAUCGACCAGGACACGCUCUUCGACCUCCUCCUCGCCGCCAACUACCUCGAGGUACAGGGUCUCCUUGACCUGGCGUGCAAGACGGUGGCCGACCAGAUGAGGGGCAAGACGGUGGAGGGCAUGCGUGCGCACUUCAACAUCGUCAACGACUACACCAAGGAGGAGGAGGCCCAGGUCCGCAGCGAAGUUGCAUGGGCCUUCGAGUAG
This 501-nucleotide ribosomal RNA is filed under the name Triticum aestivum (bread wheat). RNAcentral describes it as "partial small subunit ribosomal RNA". Lineage: Eukaryota; Viridiplantae; Streptophyta; Magnoliopsida; Poales; Poaceae. The record is from RNAcentral.